This 273-nucleotide ribosomal RNA is filed under the name uncultured prokaryote. RNAcentral describes it as "partial 16S ribosomal RNA". It matches the Rfam family "Bacterial small subunit ribosomal RNA", at positions 524 to 796 of the family's 1533-position model. The record is from RNAcentral.
UACGGAGGGUGCAAGCGUUAUCCGGAUUUAUUGGGUUUAAAGGGUGCGUAGGCGGUUUGAUAAGUCAGCGGUGAAAUAUUUCAGCUUAACUGGAAGGGUGCCGUUGAUACUGUCGAGCUUGAAUUUAGUUGCUGUGGGUGGAAUGUGUGGUGUAGCGGUGAAAUGCAUAGAUAUCACACAGAAUAUCGAUUGCGAAGGCAGCUCACAAAGCUAAUAUUGACGCUGAUGCACGAAAGUGUGGGGAUCAAACAGGAUUAGAAACCCUUGUAGUCC